UACGUAGGGUGCGAGCGUUAAUCGGAAUUACUGGGCGUAAAGCGUACGCAGGCGGCUUCGCAAGUCAGGCGUGAAAUCCCCCGGGCUUAACCUGGGAAUGGCGUCUGAAACUACGGAGCUGGAGUGUGGCAGAGGGAGGUAGAAUUCCACGUGUAGCGGGUGAAAUGCGUAGAUAUUUAGGAGGAACACCAGUGGCGAAGGGCGGCUUUCUGGACAGUAACUGACGUGAGGCGCGAAAGCGUGGGGGAGCAAACAGG
RNAcentral lists this ribosomal RNA (257 nucleotides) under uncultured bacterium. Its description in RNAcentral is "partial 16S ribosomal RNA". It matches the Rfam family "Bacterial small subunit ribosomal RNA", at positions 524 to 776 of the family's 1533-position model. The record is from RNAcentral.